GACGAACGCUGGCGGCGUGCCUAAUACAUGCAAGUUGAGCGCUGAAGGUUGGUACUUGUACCGACUGGAUGAGCAGCGAACGGGUGAGUAACGCGUGGGGAAUCUGCCUUUGAGCGGGGGACAACAUUUGGAAACGAAUGCUAAUACCGCAUAAAAACUUUAAACACAAGUUUUAAGUUUGAAAGAUGCAAUUGCAUCACUCAAAGAUGAUCCCGCGUUGUAUUAGCUAGUUGGUGAGGUAAAGGCUCACCAAGGCGAUGAUACAUAGCCGACCUGAGAGGGUGAUCGGCCGCAUUGGGACUGAGACACGGCCCAAACUCCUACGGGAGGCAGCAGUAGGGAAUCUUCGGCAAUGGACGAAAGUCUGACCGAGCAACGCCGCGUGAGUGAAGAAGGUUUUCGGAUCGUAAAACUCUGUUGGUAGAGAAGAACGUUGGUGAGAGUGGAAAGCCCAUCAAGUGACGGUAACUACCCAGAAAGGGACGGCUAACUACGUGCCAGCCGCCGCGGUAA
RNAcentral lists this ribosomal RNA (513 nucleotides) under uncultured bacterium. RNAcentral describes it as "partial 16S ribosomal RNA". It matches the Rfam family "Bacterial small subunit ribosomal RNA", at positions 28 to 523 of the family's 1533-position model. The record is from RNAcentral.